GAUGAACGCUGGCGGCGUGCCUAAUACAUGCAAGUCGAGCGAACAGACGAGGAGCUUGCUCCUCUGACGUUGGCGGCGGACGGGUGAGUAACACGUGGAUAACCUACCUAUAAGACUGGGAUAACUUCGGGAAACCGGAGCUAAUACCGGAUAAUAUAUUGAACCGCAUGGUUCAAUAGUGAAAGACGGUUUUGCUGUCACUUAUAGAUGGAUCCGCGCCGCAUUAGCUAGUUGGUAAGGUAACGGCUUACCAAGGCAACGAUGCGUAGCCGACCUGAGAGGGUGAUCGGCCACACUGGAACUGAGACACGGUCCAGACUCCUACGGGAGGCAACAGUAGGGAAUCUUCCGCAAUGGGCGAAAGCCUGACGGAGCAACGCCGCGUGAGUGAUGAAGGUCUUCGGAUCGUAAAACUCUGUUAUUAGGGAAGAACAAAUGUGUAAGUAACUAUGCACGUCUUGACGGUACCUAAUCAGAAAGCCACGGCUAACUACGUG
This 497-nucleotide ribosomal RNA is filed under the name uncultured bacterium. RNAcentral's name for it is "partial 16S ribosomal RNA". It matches the Rfam family "Bacterial small subunit ribosomal RNA", at positions 28 to 507 of the family's 1533-position model. The record is from RNAcentral.